GGGUUUGAUCAUGGCUCAGAUUGAACGCUGGCGGCAGGCCUAACACAUGCAAGUCGAACGGUAACAGGAAGAAGCUUGCUUCUUUGCUGACGAGUGGCGGACGGGUGAGUAAUGUCUGGGAAACUGCCUGAUGGAGGGGGAUAACUACUGGAAACGGUAGCUAAUACCGCAUAACGUCGCAAGACCAAAGAGGGGGACCUUCGGGCCUCUUGCCAUCGGAUGUGCCCAGAUGGGAUUAGCUAGUAGGUGGGGUAAAGGCUCACCUAGGCGACGAUCCCUAGCUGGUCUGAGAGGAUGACCAGCCACACUGGAACUGAGACACGGUCCAGACUCCUACGGGAGGCAGCAGUGGGGAAUAUUGCACAAUGGGCGCAAGCCUGAUGCAGCCAUGCCGCGUGUAUGAAGAAGGCCUUCGGGUUGUAAAGUACUUUCAGCGGGGAGGAAGGGAGUAAAGUUAAUACCUUUGCUCAUUGACGUUACCCGCAGAAGAAGCACCGGCUAACUCCGUGCCAGCAGCCGCGGUAAUACGGAGGGUGCAAGCGUUAAUCGGAAUUACUGGGCGUAAAGCGCACGCAGGCGGCUUGUUAAGUCAGAUGUGAAAUCCCCGGGCUCAACCUGGGAACUGCAUCUGAUACUGGCAAGCUUGAGUCUCGUAGAGGGGGGUAGAAUUCCAGGUGUAGCGGCGAAAUGCGUAGAGAUCUGGAGGAAUACCGGUGGCGAAGGCGGCCCCCUGGACGAAGACUGACGCUCAGGUGCGAAAGCGUGGGGGAGCAAACAGGAUUAGAUACCCUGGUAGUCCACGCCGUAAACGAUGUCGACUUGGAGGUUGUGCCCUUGAGGCGUGGCUUCCGGAGCUAACGCGUUAAGUCGACCGCCUGGGGAGUACGGCCGCAAGGUUAAAACUCAAAUGAAUUGACGGGGGCCCGCACAAGCGGUGGAGCAUGUGGUUUAAUUCGAUGCAACGCGAAGAACCUUACCUGGUCUUGACAUCCACAGAACUUUCCAGAGAUGGAUUGGUGCCUUCGGGAACUGUGAGACAGGUGCUGCAUGGCUGUCGUCAGCUCGUGUUGUGAAAUGUUGGGUUAAGUCCCGCAACGAGCGCAACCCUUAUCCUUUGUUGCCAGCGGUCCGGCCGGGAACUCAAAGGAGACUGCCAGUGAUAAACUGGAGGAAGGUGGGGAUGACGUCAAGUCAUCAUGGCCCUUACGACCAGGGCUACACACGUGCUACAAUGGCGCAUACAAAGAGAAGCGACCUCGCGAGAGCAAGCGGACCUCAUAAAGUGCGUCGUAGUCCGGAUUGGAGUCUGCAACUCGACUCCAUGAAGUCGGAAUCGCUAGUAAUCGUGGAUCAGAAUGCCGCGGUGAAUACGUUCCCGGGCCUUGUACACACCGCCCGUCACACCAUGGGAGUGGGUUGCAAAAGAAGUAGAUAGCUUAACCUUCGGGAGGGCGCUUACCACUUUGU
This 1467-nucleotide ribosomal RNA is filed under the name uncultured organism. Its description in RNAcentral is "SSU rRNA". It matches the Rfam family "Bacterial small subunit ribosomal RNA". The record is from RNAcentral.